GGUUAAGCGACUAAGCGUACACGGUGGAUGCCCUGGCAGUCAGAGGCGAUGAAGGACGUGCUAAUCUGCGAUAAGCGUCGGUAAGGUGAUAUGAACCGUUAUAACCGGCGAUUUCCGAAUGGGGAAACCCAGUGUGUUUCGACACACUAUCAUUAACUGAAUCCAUAGGUUAAUGAGGCGAACCGGGGGAACUGAAACAUCUAAGUACCCCGAGGAAAAGAAAUCAACCGAGAUUCCCCCAGUAGCGGCGAGCGAACGGGGAGCAGCCCAGAGCCUGAAUCAGUGUGUGUGUUAGUGGAAGCGUCUGGAAAGGCGCGCGAUACAGGGUGACAGCCCCGUACACAAAAAUGCACAUGCUGUGAGCUCGAUGAGUAGGGCGGGACACGUGGU
Molecule: ribosomal RNA, 390 nt
Filed under: Escherichia coli
Lineage: Bacteria; Pseudomonadati; Pseudomonadota; Gammaproteobacteria; Enterobacterales; Enterobacteriaceae
Description: partial 23S ribosomal RNA
Rfam family: Bacterial large subunit ribosomal RNA
Source: RNAcentral